RNAcentral lists this transfer-messenger RNA (376 nucleotides) under Sulfurimonas sp. It matches the Rfam family "transfer-messenger RNA". From Rfam's summary of the family: Bacterial tmRNA, also known as 10Sa RNA or SsrA, is named for its dual tRNA and mRNA-like properties. Its role is to liberate the mRNA from a stalled ribosome. To accomplish this part of the tmRNA is used as a reading frame that ends in a translation stop signal. The record is from RNAcentral. Lineage: Bacteria; Pseudomonadati; Campylobacterota; Epsilonproteobacteria; Campylobacterales; Sulfurimonadaceae.
GGGGCUGACCUGGUUUCGACGGGAUCAAGUCGCUUCUAGUUGCAUGUCGGACUGAGCAUUCCGUUACACGGCUCAAAUUGCUUAAACGCAAACAAUACAAAUUAUCGCCCAGCUUACGCAGUAGCUUAAGUUUACCCCCUCGCAAGAGGUCGGGCUGCUUCACCUAUGGACUCUGGAUAGAUAGGAUCUGAAGUAUCACCCUUAUGCAGAUAUACUUUGCGUUUGUCUCGGACGCAAAACGAACCCAAGAGGCUCGUCUGGCGUAGCUUUGCAAGUUGUGUGAAGCAAGACUAAAAAACAAACAACUUCUCUAAACAUGUAGAGAUUAGGAGUAGCGUGGUUUCGGACUGGAGUUCGAUCCUCCACAGCUCCACCA